RNAcentral lists this ribosomal RNA (252 nucleotides) under uncultured bacterium. RNAcentral's name for it is "partial 16S ribosomal RNA". It matches the Rfam family "Bacterial small subunit ribosomal RNA", at positions 524 to 776 of the family's 1533-position model. The record is from RNAcentral.
UACGUAGGUGGCAAGCGUUGUCCGAUUUACUGGGCGUAAAGGAUGCGUAGGCGGACAUUUAAGUCAGAUGUGAAAUACCCGAGCUUAACUUGGGUGCUGCAUUUGAAACUGGGUGUCUAGAGUGCAGGAGAGGUAAGUGGAAUUCCUAGUGUAGCGGUGAAAUGCGUAGAGAUUAGGAAGAACACCAGUGGCGAAGGCGACUUACUGGACUGUAACUGACGCUGAGGCAUGAAAGCGUGGGGAGCAAACAGG